AUUCAGCUUACGAGUUUCAAAUGGGACGAAACACGUGUCCUGAAU
RNAcentral lists this non-coding RNA (45 nucleotides) under Schistosoma haematobium. The record is from RNAcentral. Lineage: Eukaryota; Metazoa; Platyhelminthes; Trematoda; Strigeidida; Schistosomatidae.